UACGGGGGGGGCAAGCGUUGUUCGGAAUUACUGGGCGUAAAGGGUUCGUAGGUGGCCCGCUAAGUCAGACGUGAAAUCCCUCAGCUCAACUGAGGAACUGCGUCUGAGACUGGCGGGCUCGAGUGCAGGAGAGGAACGCGGAAUUCCAGGUGUAGCGGUGAAAUGCGUAGAUAUCUGGAGGAACACCGGUGGCGAAGGCGGCGUUCUGGACUGCUACUGACACUGAGGAACGAAAGCCAGGGGAGCAAACGGG
RNAcentral lists this ribosomal RNA (253 nucleotides) under uncultured bacterium. RNAcentral's name for it is "partial 16S ribosomal RNA". It matches the Rfam family "Bacterial small subunit ribosomal RNA", at positions 524 to 776 of the family's 1533-position model. The record is from RNAcentral.